AGCAGCCGCGGUAAUUCCAGCUCCAAUAGCGUAUAUUAAAGUUGUUGCAGUUAAAAAGCUCGUAGUUGAAUUUCGGGAUCAGAUUGUUGGUCGUGCCUCGGUACGCACUGGCAUUAUUGGUUCCUACCUUCUGAAGAACCGCGAUGUCAUUAAUUUGGUGUCGUGGGGAAUCAGGACUGUUACUUUGAAAAAAUUAGAGUGUUUAAAGCAGGCGCACGCUUGAAUACAUUAGCAUGGAAUAAUGAAAUAGGACGCUUGAUUCUAUUUUGUUGGUUUCUAGGAUCGACGUAAUGAUUAAUAGGGAUAGUUGGGGGCAUUAGUAUUCAAUUGUCAGAGGUGAAAUUCUUGGAUUUAUUGAAGACUAACUACUGCGAAAGCAUUUGCCAAGGAUGUUUUCAUUAAUCAAGAACGAAAGUUAGGGGAUCGAAGACGAUCAGAUACCGUCGUAGU
Molecule: ribosomal RNA, 450 nt
Filed under: uncultured Glomeromycotina
Lineage: Eukaryota; Fungi; Glomeromycota
Description: SSU rRNA
Rfam family: Eukaryotic small subunit ribosomal RNA
Source: RNAcentral